Long non-coding RNA from Sphaeramia orbicularis (orbiculate cardinalfish), 138 nucleotides. RefSeq lists it as uncharacterized. The transcript is spliced from 3 exons. Lineage: Eukaryota; Metazoa; Chordata; Actinopteri; Kurtiformes; Apogonidae. The record is from RefSeq and is a predicted model, not a curated record.
CAUUUGUCACUGUCUGGUAAGCUAACAAGCACAUACUCACAACAGUCGCUUUUCCAUUGGACAAAUGCACAAAAUUUGACCGAUAUUUACUCAAUGUCGAAAAAACAGAAGUGCAUAAUGUCAAUUUUUCUGUUAAAU